AACGAACGCUGGCGGCAUGCCUAACACAUGCAAGUCGAACGAAACCUUCGGGUCUAGUGGCGCACGGCUGCGUAACGCGUGGGAACCUGCAUUUAGGUUCGGACUAACUCAGAGAAAUUUGAGCUAAUACCGGAUGAUGUCUUCGGACCAAAGAUUUAUCGCCUUUAGAUGGGCCCGCGUUGGAUUCGCUUGUUGGUGGGGUAAUGGCCUACCAAGGCGACGAUCCAUAGCCGGUCUGAGAGGAUGAUCAGCGACACUGGGACUGAGACACGGCCCAGACUCCUACGGGAGGGAGGAGUGGGGAAUAUUGGACAAUGGGCGAAAGCCUGAUCCAGCAAUGCCGCGUGAGUGAUGAAGGCCUUAGGGUUGUAAAGCGCUUUUACCCGAGAUGAUAAUGACGGUAACGGGAGAAUAAGCUCCGGCUAACUCCGUG
RNAcentral lists this ribosomal RNA (433 nucleotides) under uncultured bacterium. RNAcentral's name for it is "partial 16S ribosomal RNA". It matches the Rfam family "Bacterial small subunit ribosomal RNA", at positions 29 to 507 of the family's 1533-position model. The record is from RNAcentral.